This 492-nucleotide ribosomal RNA is filed under the name uncultured bacterium. RNAcentral's name for it is "bacterial SSU rRNA". It matches the Rfam family "Bacterial small subunit ribosomal RNA", at positions 28 to 517 of the family's 1533-position model. The record is from RNAcentral.
GAAGAACGCUAGCGGCAGGCCUUAUACAUGCAAGUCGAGGGGCAGCAUUUACUUCGGUAAAUGGCGACCGGCGCACGGGUGAGUAACGCGUAUGCAACCUACCUUUAACUGGGGCAUAGCUCGAGGAAACUCGAAUUAAUUCCCCAUAGUACAUUAUAAUAUCUCAUGAUAUAAAUGUUAAAGAUUUAUCGGUUAAAGAUGGGCAUGCGUCUGAUUAGUUUGUUGGUAAGGUAACGGCUUACCAAGACUACGAUCAGUAGGGGGUCUGAGAGGAUGAUCCCCCACACUGGUACUGAGACACGGACCAGACAUCUACGGAUGGCAGCAGUAAGGAAUAUUGGGCAAUGGGCGCAAGCCUGACCCAGCCAUGCCGCGUGCAGGAUGACGACCCUAUGGGUUGUAAACUGCUUUUAUAUAGGAAGAAAAUUCUCUCGUGUGAGGACCUGACGGUACUAUAAGAAUAAGGAUCGGCUAACUCCGUGCCAGCCGCCG